Molecule: small nucleolar RNA, 107 nt
Organism: Corylus avellana
Lineage: Eukaryota; Viridiplantae; Streptophyta; Magnoliopsida; Fagales; Betulaceae
Source: RefSeq, a predicted model, not a curated record
AAACCAUGGGGUGGACAUUUCAUAGUCAACUCUUUAAACCUCUCCCAGCUUUCAAAGAAUUUCUCAUCCUCAUUCUGACUAAAACCGCUGAUCUCUCAACGGAAUUC